AUUCCGGUUGAUCCUGCCGGAGGACAUUGCUAUUGGGAUUCGAUUUAGCCAUGCUAGUCGAGCGAGUUCAGACUCGUGGCGAAUAGCUCAGUAACACGUGGCCAAGCUCCCCUUCAGUCAGCGAUACCCUCGGGAAACUGAGGUUAACAGCUGAUACAAAACGCCAGCUGGAAUGCGGCGUUUCAGAAAGACAUCGCUGAAGGAUGCGGCUGCGGCCGAUUAGGUAGACGGUGGGGUAACGGCCCACCGUGCCAGUAAUCGGUACGGGUGAUGAGAGUCAGAGCCCGGAGACGGAAUCUGAGACAAGAUUCCGGGCCCUACGGGGCGCAGCAGGCGCGAAACCUUUACACUGCACGGAAGUGCGAUAGGGGAAUCCCAAGUGCGAGGGCAUAUUAGCCCUCGCUUUUCUCGACUGUAAGGUGGUCGACGAAUAAGAGCUGGGCAAGACCGGUGCCAGCCGCCGCGGUAAUACCGGCAGCUCAAGUGAUGUCCCAUAUUAUUGGGCCUAAAGCGUCCGUAGCU
RNAcentral lists this ribosomal RNA (522 nucleotides) under uncultured haloarchaeon. RNAcentral's name for it is "bacterial SSU rRNA". It matches the Rfam family "Archaeal small subunit ribosomal RNA", at positions 1 to 526 of the family's 1478-position model. The record is from RNAcentral. Lineage: Archaea; Methanobacteriati; Methanobacteriota; Halobacteria; Halobacteriales; Halobacteriaceae.